AAGCUGGAAUCGCUAGUAAUCGCGGAUCAGCACGCCGCGGUGAAUACGUCCCCGGGCCUUGUACACACCGCCCGUCACACCAUGAGAGUCUGUAACACCCAAAGCCGGUGGGAUAACCUUUAUAGGAGUCAGCCGUCUAAGGUAGGACAGAUGAUUAGGGUGAAGUCGUAACAAGGUAGC
RNAcentral lists this ribosomal RNA (180 nucleotides) under uncultured bacterium. Its description in RNAcentral is "partial 16S ribosomal RNA". It matches the Rfam family "Bacterial small subunit ribosomal RNA", at positions 1323 to 1500 of the family's 1533-position model. The record is from RNAcentral.